Molecule: long non-coding RNA, 661 nt
Filed under: Monodelphis domestica (gray short-tailed opossum)
Lineage: Eukaryota; Metazoa; Chordata; Mammalia; Didelphimorphia; Didelphidae
Description: lncRNA (ENSMODG00000032406.2)
Source: RNAcentral
AGAUUUCACCUUUACAUCAUCUCUUGAAUAUGUCUCCUUCUCUCUUCUGACACAGACACUACUCUAACAUAGGCCCUAAUCAUCUCGUGCAUGGGUUGAUAAAUAGCCUGAUGAUGACUCUGUCUGCCUCAGGUCUCUCCCCACUCUAAUCCAUCCUCCAUUCAGCCAUUAAUGUGAUUUUCCUGAAGCAAAGAUUUGAUCAUGUCAUCCCCUUAUUCAAUAAACUCCAGUGACGUUGACAUUCAAAGCCUUCUCUUGCCUUUUCAGUCUUUGUCUGCCUUAUUCCCAGACACAUACUCUUCCAUCCAAUGAUGGUGGCUUCCUGGCUAUUCCAUGAACAAGAUGUUCCAAUUUUCAGCUCAGGGUAUUUUCUCUGGUUCUCCCCUUUGCUUGGAACACUCUCCCGACUCCGCUCUCACGAGUGGCCUCUCUGGCUUCCUCUCAGCUUCAGGGCUGCCAUCCACUAGUACAUUAUGCCAACUUGGGAAAAUAAGACUCAUCUUCCUGAGUUCAAAUCUGACCUCGGAUACUUCCUAGUUGUCUGACCCUGGAAAGGGUUCCAUUUCAAGAGGAUAGAGUAGGAGGGAAGAUAUUUCCAGAAAUGAUGAUGAUCUGAAAAGGCAUCAAUAAAGCGUAUUAAUAAAUGAAUGAAUGAAUUGGA